UGGGGAAUAUUGGACAAUGGGGGAAACCCUGAUCCAGCGACGCCGCGUGUGUGAAGAAGGCCUGCGGGUUGUAAAGCACUUUCGGUGGGAACGAAAUAUGCCGGGCUAAUACCCCGGUAGGCUGACGUUACUCAAUGAAGAAGCACCGGCUAACUCUGUGCCAGCAGCCGCGGUAAUACAGAGGGUGCGAGCGUUAAUCGGAAUUACUGGGCGUAAAGGGCGCGUAGGCGGCAAUUCAAGUCAUCUGUGAAAUCUCCGGGCUUAACUCGGAACGGUCAGAUGAUACUGCUUUGCUAGAGUGCAGAAGGGGCAAUCGGAAUUCUUGGUGUAGCGGUGAAAUGCGUAGAUAUCAAGAGGAACACCUGAGGUGAAGACGGGUUGCUGGGCUGACACUGACGCUGAGGCGCGAAAGCCAGGGGAGCAAACGGGAUUAGAUACCCCCGUAGUCCCUGAGCGGGCUGGCAAGGCGCAU
Molecule: ribosomal RNA, 472 nt
Filed under: uncultured bacterium
Lineage: Bacteria
Description: bacterial SSU rRNA
Rfam family: Bacterial small subunit ribosomal RNA
Source: RNAcentral